GAUGCUAUGAAGAUUCCUGCUGAAGCAGAUGCGUUGGUUGGCUAGACUGUUGCUUUUAAAAUAGACGUUACCCACUAUGUCUUGAAGUAUAACAUCCAUAAGUAUGGUAUACUCAAGUUGACUGUGGAUCCAAACGUUAUAUCUCAGCUUCAAGACAAGCAAUCUUCUUCCCAGAUCAGUUCUUCUCAGAAUUGUUCUCUGAAUAUCGGUGCUUCCGAAUUUCAGUCUCAGUCAUCUCUGAUGGUUUGAAGGACUAUGUUGUCAAAGGAAGCCAGAGCACGACUCCUGUAUCUAACAUGGCUAGCACCGUUUCACCUGUUGCUUUGGAUGUCACUGAUACUCCUGCUUCCAUGUUAGUUAAGGAUGACGUGAAGCGAAACUUGGUUGAAGUCUAUGAUGUUGAUGAAGAUUCUCAGAUGUCUGCAACAAAGGUCCAUAAAUCUGGCGAGGUUAAGGAUGCAAAUAGUGCAGAGAGGAUGAACCUCAUCAUUCCUAAAAUCGAGAAAUAGUUGUGCAAGUUUUCAUAUCAUUAUGUUAUUGGCUGUUUUA
This is a long non-coding RNA of Helianthus annuus (common sunflower), 549 nucleotides long. RefSeq lists it as uncharacterized. The record is from RefSeq and is a predicted model, not a curated record. The transcript is spliced from 3 exons. Lineage: Eukaryota; Viridiplantae; Streptophyta; Magnoliopsida; Asterales; Asteraceae.